UACGUGGUCACUGUUGGCCUAUGCAAGAGAGAAUGAGCUUGAGUCUCGUCCAUGGGUCAGAGUCUGGGUCUGCCUUAGUUGUCCAGUGGUCACUAAAGAAUGACACAAAAACCGAAGAAGGAACUUGCUCUCAAGUCUGGCUGUUCCUCAUGGCCAUACACAUGAGUGUUUCCGACAUUAGCCCAUAAGCAGCUGCCACUGAGCCCUGAUGGCUGAGAACACAAAGCCAGCCAGGGUCAGAGAACGGGUCCUUAUUGUUUCUAAGCUCUAGCGAUGUGCCAUGGCAGGACCAGAAAUAUGUUUGCUUCUAAUUUUCUAAUUCGGAAUUAAAUAAAGGACAGUAAAAUCACUGUAGAAAAAUCACUAAAGAAGCAGAAAUACAUGGGCCAACCAAAGAUAUGUUAAUUAUAAUGUCAGGAGUGAGGGAACUUUUUGCUAUCGUUUUAAAAUUUACUUUAGGGUUUAUUUUUAUUUGUGUGUAUGAAUGUUACCUGCAUGUACGUCUGUGCACUGUGCAUGCAUUACCCAUGGAGGCCAGAAGAGGGCAAUGUAAACCAUGGAACUGGAGUUACAGUUAGCUGCCGUGUAGGUUCUGGGAGUUGAACCAUGGUCCUCUGCAAGAACCACAAGUGCUCUUAACCAUGAAGCGAUCUCUCCAACACCUUUUUAUUUUUCAGGAUAGGGUCUUACUAUGUAGUCCUAGCUAACCUAGAUCAUGCUGGACUCAGAAAUAUACCUGCCUCUGCCUCUCCAAUUCUGGAAUCAGAAGUCUGUGCCUAAGCUGGACUUGUUUUUAAAAUGUUUUCACCGUUGCUGGCCAGCGCACCUCUGUACAGGCAACAGUGAGUAUAAAUAUGGUGACGUAAGGCUCGUGCUAGCCUACUGGCCAGGCAAUUUUGGCUGGGAGAGAACCACUCAUGCAUCUCAGGGCGUUAAGUUUGAGGUCUCAGGAUAAAGAUCAUCCUAAUUUUAUUUUAAAACACAUCAUAAAAAUGUCCCCUAACCAACUGGCGCACUCAGAGUUGAGGGUGCCGCUUGGUGCCAGAGUGGUUGGCUAACACCCUCCAGGACCUGAGUUCCGAUACCCGUUCUGCAAUACGGAACUAUCAAUAGAUACCACGCUGGGGUUGAAGGCGCCGAUUUACAAGUGAACAAACGCUGAUCGCGGUUUCUACCAAUAGUUUGUUCACGUGUCAGAAAUCACUUUGCUUCCCCACGAGGCAGAGGCGAGCCUCGUAGUAGUAGUACCUGUUUCCUUCGGUUACUGCAGACGCUGAAAAACCUUGUUUCCCACGCACUGUGGAGUCAUUAUGACUGAACCCACAGCCAGCAACACAGUGUGCCUGAGAUGAAGCUUUUUCUACGCAUGCCUCUUCUCCGUGAGACACGUUACAGCCACCUGUGCUAAGGGCACGAGACAACACUUCUGUCCUACGCUUGUGACAACUUAAAGUAGCAGAGCCAACAUGAAGCACAAAAACAUGAGCGUGGGAUAUGGAAGAGACCACACUAUGGAUCCUUGUCUUCUAGGAGGAUCUGAGACAAGAUGGUAGAUCAUGGCCCCAUUGGCCCAGCAGGGUGAGGCUACAGCAGUCAGGGAGGUUGCACUGUAUAGCCCUAGUGGGGUUUUCCAAUGAGACAGCAGUAGGACUGGGGAAUCCUCCUGGGAGUGGAGGGCUGCUGCUGUUGGCACAGCCUCGGCAAUUGUGGGAACAUGAGCCCUACCUUGGUACAGAGUUGGUGUUGAUAACGUAUCACGUGAUCGUUCCACUACUGGUGCAAAAUGACCAGGCUGUGCUUCUUCGGGUCUUCUGCUUCUCCCGGGCUUCUGCUUCUUGCCACCUUGAGCCUGUGAGUAGUUUAUUUUUCUCUGUUCCCCGGAUGCAGGGUAACUUACUUCAUCUUGUCUCCAAGCUGCCACUGCCUGCCCUACUUAGCUUCUGUGAGUCUUGCCGCCCCUCUCUGAAGCACCAGGCACUGGGAAACCUGCUCCUGAGGGUUCUCUGAGUGACUUUGUACUUGUUUAAAAAGGGGGGGUUGGGGAUUUAGCUCAGUGGUAAAGCGCUUGCCUAGGAAGCGCAAGGCCCUGGGUUCGGUCCCCAGCUCCGAAAAAAAAAAAAAAAAAAAAAAAAAGAAACCAAAAAAGGGAGUACACUCCGUGACUGCCAUUCGUACUUCUUCUCCCUUGUUCACAUGGGCCCUUUGUUUCGUCAUCUCUUUUCCUAAGGGUCAGUCCUUUGUCCUGACUGUUUAGGCUCCUAGUCAAGCAUCUGUGAACUGAUAGGACGAAGAGAACUGCACUACGGUCUCGGGAGACCCGAGCCGCGGGGGUGCUCUUAGAAAAGGGCUCACCCCCUUGUUCUUCGCCCCAAGGCCUCGUGGUCUUGAUGUGUGCAUCAUGAACCCUGAAGAUGUUAGUGAAGAACAGGCAGAAGUGUCCAUUCCUCUUGACUGCUAAAGGACAACUGAGUUCUACUUCUCUAGUCAUUUACCGGGAAAUUAAGGUGCUGAUUGGGAAGGGGUGUGGCUUAAGAGUGAGAGUAGGGGUGCUUGGGUGGAUUCUGGUUACUAUGAGAACCCUACAUUCCUAACUCUUGUGAACUGGAAUCUGGUACUGUUUCCCUUCUGAGGACAUUGGUUUCCACUCACUGUAUUCAAAACAAUGACAUGGAAUUUUCAUUACAGAAAUAUAGUACAUAUGUAUGUCUUAUUUUGUUUGUUAUUAGUAAUAAUAAUUGUUGGGAGCAGCCUUGAGAUGGCGAAAGCAGCCUUCAAGUUAAAAAGCAAUUGUGUUCUAGCCUUAUGCUAGAAUAAUAAGCAAUAGUCUUUAGGUUAAAAAGCAAUUAUAUUUUAGCCUUAUGAUAGAACAAAAAGCAAUAGCCUUAGGUUAGAUCAAAGCAGCACCCGCAGCUCUACAUAAAUUCAAUAGAUAGCAUAAAUCUAGGUGUCAGAUCACUGAGUACCGGUGGUCAGGCACUGAUGGUCAGGUCACUAAGCAACCCACCCUGCUGUUCCCCCGCUUGGCCGAUUUACCCAGCCAAUAUCCUGGUUAUCAAGCCAGGCCCCUUCUUUUGUGGUCACCCAACCCCUCCCCUUGCUUCUACCAGUAUAUCUUCAGCCUGAGAAAAAUUAAAAAUUGUCAGCUUGAUCAGA
Molecule: long non-coding RNA, 3153 nt
Organism: Rattus norvegicus (Norway rat)
Lineage: Eukaryota; Metazoa; Chordata; Mammalia; Rodentia; Muridae
Source: RefSeq, a predicted model, not a curated record